RNAcentral lists this ribosomal RNA (552 nucleotides) under Physopyxis lyra. RNAcentral's name for it is "partial 16S ribosomal RNA". It matches the Rfam family "Bacterial large subunit ribosomal RNA", at positions 1850 to 2606 of the family's 2925-position model. Lineage: Eukaryota; Metazoa; Chordata; Actinopteri; Siluriformes; Doradidae. The record is from RNAcentral.
AGGUCUUGCCUGCACGGUGACAGUUAAACGGCCGCGGUAUUUUGACCGUGCGAAGGUAGCGCAAUCACUUGUCUUUUAAAUGAAGACCUGUAUGAAUGGCGGAACGAGGGCUUAGCUGUCUCCCUUUUCAAGUCAAUGAAAUUGAUCUGCCCGUGCAGAAGCGGGCAUACCCCUACAAGACGAGAAGACCCUUUGGAGCUUAAGAUACAUAGAUCAACUACGUCAAGAACCCAUAAAUCAAGUUAAACCCAGUAGAACCUGAUCCCUAUCUUCGGUUGGGGCGACCACGGGAGAAAAUAAAGCUCCCACGAAGACUGGGGCCUACCCCCUAAAACUAAGAAAGACACUUCUAAGUCUCAAAACAUCUGACCAUUAAGACCCGGCUUCUCCGCCGAUCAACGGACCAAGUUACCCUAGGGAUAACAGCGCAAUCCCCUUUCAGAGUCCAUAUCGACAAGGGGGUUUACGACCUCGAUGUUGGAUCAGGACAUCCUAAUGGUGCAGCCGCUAUUAAGGGUUCGUUUGUUCAACGAUUAAAGUCCUACGUGAUCU